This 305-nucleotide ribosomal RNA is filed under the name uncultured bacterium. RNAcentral's name for it is "bacterial SSU rRNA". It matches the Rfam family "Bacterial small subunit ribosomal RNA", at positions 334 to 653 of the family's 1533-position model. The record is from RNAcentral.
UAUCCCUACGGGAGGCAGCAGUGGGGAAUAUUGGACAAUGGGGGGAACCCUGAUCCAGCGACGCCGCGUGAGUGAAGAAGUAUUUCGGUAUGUAAAGCUCUAUCAGCAGGGAAGAAAGAAAUGACGGUACCUGACUAAGAAGCCCCGGCUAACUACGUGCCAGCAGCCGCGGUAAUACGUAGGGGGCAAGCGUUAUCCGGAUUUACUGGGUGUAAAGGGAGCGUAGACGGCGUGCCAAGUCUGAUGUGAAAGGCCGGGGCUCAACCCCGGGACUGCAUUGGAAACUGGCAUGCUGGAGUGCCGGG